This 1305-nucleotide long non-coding RNA is filed under the name Sorghum bicolor (sorghum). RNAcentral describes it as "long non-coding RNA (SBIC_LNC011576)". Lineage: Eukaryota; Viridiplantae; Streptophyta; Magnoliopsida; Poales; Poaceae. The record is from RNAcentral.
UUCUCUCUCCCACUUCUCUCUCCAACGGUGCCUCCACCCGACGCUCCCUCCAUCUUCCUCGUCUGGCUUCCUCCCACCUUCUCCCUCGGCAAGCCCCUUCUCCCUCCCACCCUCUAUCUCGAUGAGCGCUGUGCAGUGUGAGGUUAGCACGGGCGCGGGUGGCUGCCCGCCCAGGGCAGAGCGUGCGUGGGCCGCGCGGAUCCAGGGCCGCGCACAUGGGCGGUGCGGAUCCAUGCGAUGUACAGCUGCAGGCCAAGGGCGUGCACGACGCAACAGCUGCCUUGUCGGGGGCACUUCGGCGUGGUGGAUCUGGGCCCCACCACCACGAAUCUAGGCCUUCCUCGACCAAAUCUAAGUGCGGCGACGCGUCCCUCCUACUCCUCUAGUGGUGGGCCAGUAGCGACCUCCACCAUCUCUGGCGUCCUUUACCACCUCGCGAGCUCGUGGCGUAGGAUCCAGGGCGGUGGCGCCCCUCGGUGAUGGAUCCAGACGGAAGGAGCUCUCCGUCGAUGGCGGCGGUUCCUGCAGCGACAAGCAAGCCAGGGCCGGAUUCGAGCAGGAGGAGCUCAGUGUCGACCCUCUUGGCGGUGAGCAUGACCGCAACAGUGGUGGCAUCAUGGAGGCGGUAGUGGCCGGGUCCGUCGUAGAGCGAGGCCUAGAUCGAGGCCCGAUAAGGGCUGGAUCUGAGUUUUUUUUGUUAUUUUUGGAUUAACCGUGGCGGGCAUGGAACCGCCUCGGUUAUGUUCACAUUAAUCGUCACCUUACCUCCGAGACGGUUGCAAAAAUCAUCUCAGAUAAUCCUUUUUUGCCCGCCUAAAAAAUAUAUGUAGUAGUGCAUGUGCUUGUUGUUUAAAUUUCAAAGAAAUAGUUUGAAAAGAAGAAGAGAAAAACACAACUAUCACAUAUGUGAGAUUCAUACAAGUACAAGUACACGAAUCCAUGACAGAUGUCCACAUCGGUUACUUCGCGGACCAAUUCACGAUAUAUGUUCGUUUCUUUUUUUCCGUUAGGGUUUAGGGUUUAGGGUUUAGAGAUUGAUUUCAAAGAAUUUUGUUUGACGUUUAAUCAGACGACGACCCAUAACGUUUUUUUUUCUUAUAUUAUUAUCUGACUUGCCGCUAGUUUCAACGUUCCAGAGCAAUUAUCACAGUAAAUUAAACGUUGACAAACCAAUUCACGAUAUAUGUUCGUUUCUUUUUUUCGUUGAAGAAGAAGAGACGGCAUUGGCUACAGCACGUCUUUGGCCCACGCAUGCAGCUGCCUGGCUGGAUGGACCUGGAGCGGAUCAGUAUAAUAAACUCGGGC